Molecule: transfer RNA, 83 nt
Filed under: Spirochaetaceae bacterium
Lineage: Bacteria; Pseudomonadati; Spirochaetota; Spirochaetia; Spirochaetales; Spirochaetaceae
Description: tRNA-Leu
Rfam family: tRNA
About the family: Transfer RNA (tRNA) molecules are approximately 80 nucleotides in length.
Source: RNAcentral
GCCGGGGUGGUGGAAUGGUAGACACCAGGGACUUAAAAUCCCUUCUCCGCAAGGGGGUACGAGUUCGAGUCUCGUCCCCGGCA